Molecule: ribosomal RNA, 755 nt
Filed under: uncultured Actinomyces sp.
Lineage: Bacteria; Bacillati; Actinomycetota; Actinomycetes; Actinomycetales; Actinomycetaceae
Description: bacterial SSU rRNA
Rfam family: Bacterial small subunit ribosomal RNA
Source: RNAcentral
GACGAACGCUGGCGGCGUGCUUAANACAUGCAAGUCGAACGCUGAAGACCUGGCUUUUGUUGGGUUGGAUGAGUGGCGAACGGGUGAGUAACACGUGAGUAACCUGCCCUCUUCUUUGGGAUAACGCCCGGAAACGGGUGCUAAUACUGGAUAUUCACUGGCCUUCGCAUGGGGGUUGGUGGAAAGGUUUGUUCUGGUGGGGGAUGGGCUCGCGGCCUAUCAGCUUGUUGGUGGGGUGAUGGCCUACCAAGGCUUUGACGGGUAGCCGGCCUGAGAGGGUGACCGGUCACAUUGGGACUGAGAUACGGCCCAGACUCCUACGGGAGGCAGCAGUGGGGAAUAUUGCACAAUGGGCGGAAGCCUGAUGCAGCGACGCCGCGUGAGGGAUGGAGGCCUUCGGGUUGUAAACCUCUUUCGCUCAUGGUCAAGCCGCAACUGUGGGUUGUGGUGAGGGUAGUGGGUAAAGAAGCGCCGGCUAACUACGUGCCAGCAGCCGCGGUAAUACGUAGGGCGCGAGCGUUGUCCGGAAUUAUUGGGCGUAAAGGGCUUGUAGGCGGUUGGUCGCGUCUGCCAUGAAAUCCUCUGGCUUAACUGGGGGCGUGCGGUGGGUACGGGCUGACUUGAGUGCGGUAGGGGAGACUGGAACUCCUGGUGUAGCGGUGGAAUGCGCAGAUAUCAGGAAGAACACCGGUGGCGAAGGCGGGUCUCUGGGCCGUUACUGACGCUGAGGAGCGAAAGCGUGGGGAGCGAACAGG